CCUGCGUUCUCGUGGAGAGCCGUUUGAGAUUCACCAGAGCAGCAGGGGAGUCGUGACCCCCAGGGGCUCAGUAGAGCAUGAGCCUGGCCAUUGCCAAGCGGCCCGCCCAUGCGUGCUGUGGUUACACGGUCUUCAUGCUGGCUGGGGAGCCCCGAGAACUCGGGUUUGGUUCGUCCUCCAAACACGUGAACACGUGUUGAGCACUGACUGUGAAUUCGGCAGCUGUGAUGGGGGCUGAACUCAGGGCCAAGGAGCCAGGCUCCACUCCACUGUGACACCAGGUGUGGGGCUCGGAGCCACACUUUGAACCUGAGAGAGUGGCUGAGCUGGAUGAUUCUCAAAGUGCGCUCUGCGGACCAGCAGCAGCACCACCAGCAGCAGCAUCACCCGGGAACUCAAAGGAAAUGCAGGUUCUCUGGCCUCUGCCGAAUGCACUGAAUCAGAAUCUGCAUUUUAACAAGAUCCCCAGCUACAACUGCACAAAAGAGCCCGAACGAGAAACACUGGCUGAGCCCAGUCAACCCUGGAACCAGAAGAGAUGAUAAUGCCAUCCAGCCCUGAGAUUUGUUUGGAGGGUGACGCGGCCAAGGAUGACACCCACUGCCCCAGAGGCUGGGGGACUGGCAGGUAUAUCUUAGGGUUUGGGGGUGGGAGUGAAGGUCAUCCUGAGGAGAGUCCUUUUUGAGUGUGUUAAGGUGUCUGUGUCCAUGUGGACGGGCUGUCAGAAUGGGCUGGGGGAUGCGGUCAGGGACCACUCCCAUUCCCAGGGCCUGGGUGUCCUGACCAUCCAUGCUAGGUCUGUUCCACGUUGGCCACACUGUUCCAGGCAAGCGCCUUUGGUCACACGGACUGGUCUCUGAGACUGGUCUGAUGUGUGUACUCUCAGGAGCCUGGACAGGGGCAGUCUCAAUCCAGAAAUGACCUCUUCAAUACUUGGUGUAGUUCCCUGUAUGAAACGCCCAAUAUUAUGAGCCACCCAGGCCUGGGUCACCUGCUGACUGGCUGGAGGAAGUGCAUGGGACCAUGUGAGGUCACGGCAGCCCCAGGGUUUGCAGGUCGUCUGCAUCCUGGCUCCCCCGCUUACAAGCUGUUUGACCUUGGUGAGGUUAGAUCAUCUUCCUAAGCUUCAGUUUCUUCAGCCACACAAUGGGUAUAACACUUACCCUUGAGGGUUACUGCGAUUGUCACACAAGGCAGCAUUUGCAUGGGCCCUGGGCCAUGCUAGACAUUCAUCAGGCACUGAAGCUAUGGGGGAGAGAAGUGAGGGGCCCAGGCUCUGGAGCCAGUGGGUUUAAACUCCACUCUACCACUAACAAGACAUUAUUAAAAACUUCUGUGCGCCUCCAUUUCCUCAUCUGUAACAUGGGGAUAAUAAUAGCACCUGCCUCCUGGCUUGUUGAGAGGAUAUAUGUAGUGCUUACAACAGCACAACACACAUAUAUGGGUACUUCACAAAUACAAAUCCAUUCAAGGAAACCAACCCUGGUGCCCUGGGAUGGCCGUUGGUCAGAGACACAGAAGCCGAAGCCAGCUUAGGACAAGCGGAGGGGCCCAGGCCUGCCCCUCGGUUCCGGGGGCCUCACUUCUGUUCCAGGGCUGUUCAGUUACCUGCUCCUAGGCCUGGGAGGCCCAGUGGACAACAGAGUGACCUCUUCUCCACUGAUUUGAUCUGAAUACAUUCUGCCCCAUGAGGGCCCAAAUGAGGGAACUGGUAUGAUAUUCACAGAGAGGUGACAUCACCCGCUGAAGAUCACACAGCAAGUCCCUGGGCCACCUGGAUCCCGGCCACAGCUCCACCCUGCUACCUCCCUCUCUUAAGUAACACAUUAAUAAGUGUCUUACCCUCAGGCCAUUAUCUGUGUUCCCAGGCCAGGGAACAUUUCUGAAACACAUCAAACAUUGACAAAAAGAGGUGUUUUUCUGUCCCCAGGCCAGGCCCUUCGGCCUCUGUUAACCAGUGAGUGUUCUCUGUUAAUCCUGAGCCCAGCUCCUCCUACACACAAGUACAAACAAGGGCAUUGGGCAUGGGAGAAACCUGUCCACCAGGGCCAGGAGGGGACACGGAAGGUUAAUGGGUCCCCUCCCCCAAAGCAAUGCACACAGCUGGGGCUCAAUAAGUGCUACUGGGUGGUAGGAACAGAGCCAGCUGAGGGCACAGGAAGAGGGAUCUGCUAAGCAGAGGAGGCCUGACCUGGGCUUCAUUGGGUAAAACCAGUCAUCAUAAUAAGUAGCUGGCAUUUCGGGAGCUCUUAGUUAGUUCCAGACACUGCCCUGAGCACUGGACAUGGUCACUCACUAACGUUUCCAUGUUUCAGUAUCUGUGGGGUGCAUAUGUUGCUCUCCCCAGUCUACAGACAGGAAGCUGCAGGCAAGAAAGAUGAAGUCAUUUGCUUAAGUCACACCAUUACCAAGAGGCCGAGCUUGGAUUCACACCCAGCACCCUGGCUCCAGACCCAAGCUCUCAACCACAAUACAAGCCUGUGGAGUGGGAGGGGUGAAAUACAUGAGUGAGGGGUGACUUCUAGGUAUUGGCUUGGGGUGGCUGUCCCUUUGAUGGAUAUGUGGGAGGAGCGCAGGUGUCAGGUGAGGUAUUGGGGAGAAGGUGGAUGAAUUGGGUUUGGCAGGUGUUGAGUUCCAGAUACCUGAGGAUGCUCAGGUGGAGGAGGCAGGAGAGAGGCGGCUUAUGGCUCUGAAGCUGGGUGAUGGGGGCUGGAGCUGCUCACUCCAGAGUCAUCAGCGUAGAAGCGCAGCCUGGGAGACACCUGAGCGAUGAAGGGGCAAGGCCACAGCUAAGGCAGGGGAAUUGAUAUUUAGUGUGCAAGGAUUCAAAAUGACAGCAAGAAAAGAAGUGUUUUAGAGACUAUUACUAUUAUUAUUAUUGAGACAGAGUCUUACUCUGUUGCCCAGGCUGGAGUGCAGGGGUGCAAUCAUAGCUUACUGUAACCUUGAACUCCUGGGCUGAAGUGAUACUCCGGCCUCCGCCUUCCGGGACUCAGCCACCACAACCAGCUAACUUUUAAAUUUUUCUGUAAAGACAGGGUGGGGGAGCCUCCCUAUAUUGCCCAUGCUGGUCUUGAACUCCUGACCUCAAGCAGUCCUCCAGCUUUAGCCUCCCAAAGUGCUGGGAUUACAGGAAUCAGCCACCAAACCUGGCCAAAUGCUAUUUUUAUUUAUUUUAUUUUAUUUAUUUAUUUUUGAGACGGAGUUUUUUUGUUUGUUUGUCUUUUGUUUUCUUUUGAGACAGAGUCUCGCUCUGUCGCCCAGGCUGGAGUAAAGUGGCGUGAUCUUGGCUCACUGCAACCUCCACCCCCUGGGUUCAAGCAAUUUCCUGCCUCAGCCUCCUGAGUAGUUUGGAUUAUGGGCACCUGCCA
This 3371-nucleotide long non-coding RNA is filed under the name Homo sapiens (human). RNAcentral's name for it is "HSALNT0148711". Lineage: Eukaryota; Metazoa; Chordata; Mammalia; Primates; Hominidae. The record is from RNAcentral.